Molecule: ribosomal RNA, 1000 nt
Filed under: Bacillus licheniformis
Lineage: Bacteria; Bacillati; Bacillota; Bacilli; Caryophanales; Bacillaceae
Description: bacterial SSU rRNA
Rfam family: Bacterial small subunit ribosomal RNA
Source: RNAcentral
GCACAAGGUUGACCUCCCUAAUACUGCCGUGUCGAGCGGACCGACGGGAGCUUGCUCCCUUAGGUCAGCGGCGGACGGGUGAGUAACACGUGGGUAACCUGCCUGUAAGACUGGGAUAACUCCGGGAAACCGGGGCUAAUACCGGAUGCUUGAUUGAACCGCAUGGUUCAAUCAUAAAAGGUGGCUUUUAGCUACCACUUGCAGAUGGACCCGCGGCGCAUUAGCUAGUUGGUGAGGUAACGGCUCACCAAGGCGACGAUGCGUAGCCUACCUGAGAGGGUGAUCGGCCAAACUGGGACUGAGACACGGCCCAGACUCCUACGGGAGGCAGCAGUAGGGAAUCUUCCGCAAUGGACGAAAGUCUGACGGAGCAACGCCGCGUGAGUGAUGAAGGUUUUCGGAUCGUAAAACUCUGUUGUUAGGGAAGAACAAGUACCGUUCGAAUAGGGCGGCACCUUGACGGUACCUAACCAGAAAGCCACGGCUAACUACGUGCCAGCAGCCGCGGUAAUACGUAGGUGGCAAGCGUUGUCCGGAAUUAUUGGGCGUAAAGCGCGCGCAGGCGGUUUCUUAAGUCUGAUGUGAAAGCCCCCGGCUCAACCGGGGAGGGUCAUUGGAAACUGGGGAACUUGAGUGCAGAAGAGGAGAGUGGAAUUCCACGUGUAGCGGUGAAAUGCGUAGAGAUGUGGAGGAACACCAGUGGCGAAGGCGACUCUCUGGUCUGUAACUGACGCUGAGGCGCGAAAGCGUGGGGAGCGAACAGGAUUAGAUACCCUGGUAGUCCACGCCGUAACGAUGAGUGCUAAGUGUUAGAGGGUUUCCGCCCUUUAGUGCUGCAGCAACGCAUUAAGCACUCCGCCUGGGGAGUACGGUCGCAAGACUGAAACUCAAGGAAUUGACGGGGGCCCGCACAAGCGGUGGAGCAUGUGGUUUAAUUCGAAGCAACGCGAGAACCUUACCAGGUCUUGACAUCCUCUGACACCCUAGAGAUAGGGCUUCC